Molecule: ribosomal RNA, 774 nt
Filed under: uncultured Neocallimastigales
Lineage: Eukaryota; Fungi; Neocallimastigomycota; Neocallimastigomycetes; Neocallimastigales
Description: partial large subunit ribosomal RNA
Rfam family: Eukaryotic large subunit ribosomal RNA
Source: RNAcentral
UAUGUGAUCGUCUCUCGCAUAUCAAUAAGCGGAGGAAAAGAAACUAACAAGGAUUCCCCUAGUAACGGCGAGUGAAGCGGGAAGAGCUCAAAUUUGAAAUCUUAAAGGGUUUCCCUUUACGAAUUGUAGUUUAAAGAAGUGUUUUCUGUUGAGGUUUUGGUAAAAGUUCUUUGGAAUAGGACAUCAUAGAGGGUGAGAAUCCCGUAUUUGACCUUUACUUUCAACUUUGUGAUACACUUUCAAAGAGUCGGAUUGUUUGGGAAUGCAGUCCAAAAUGGGUGGUAAAUUUCAUCUAAAGCUAAAUAUUGGCGAGAGACCGAUAGCGAACAAGUACCGUGAGGGAAAGAUGAAAAGAACUUUGAAAAGAGAGUUAAACAGUACGUGAAAUUGUCAAAAGGGAAGCGUUUGACACCAGUGUUGUUUUUCUGAAAAUCAAUUAAAGAACUGUUUAUGCUAAGUUGUUUAGACUUUAUCAGCUAUCUGUUUAGUUUUGAGCUUUUCUUUAACGCACUUUUCAGUUAACAAGUCAACAUCAAUUUCUUUUGCUGUAAAAAAGCUUGAGGAAGGUGGCUUGAGAUUCGUCUUAAGUGUUUAUAGCCUCUUGCCUAUGCAGUCGGAGAGAUUGAGGUCUGCAGCGUAGAUCCUUCGGGGCUAAAUGCAUUUGUGCUAAGUUAUAGCAUUUUAUAGACAACUUGUUGACUAUGAUUUGUCUUGUAGCUUACUCGCUUAUGUUAUUUUACCUACGCUUAGGAUGUUGAGUAGCGACAUACGCAC